Molecule: long non-coding RNA, 669 nt
Filed under: Priapulus caudatus
Lineage: Eukaryota; Metazoa; Priapulida; Priapulimorpha; Priapulimorphida; Priapulidae
Description: uncharacterized LOC106818296, transcript variant X1
Source: RNAcentral
AUCAAUUGAUAGGUCGUUGAGCAGAAGUGGUAAGAAAAGUGACAUUGAGAGCUCUCACUUCAUGCCACUACCAGCUGAAGGAAUGGAAGUUAUUGCUUCAGCAACCAAGAUUACGACCUGCGAGUCAAAAUAGCAGCCAUUGACCACAACGCUCAUAGUGCCAGAGAGCGCGCUCGGGACUAGUCAGGGAAGUUAAUCUUUCACACUCAUUGGUCUAAGGCGGCCAAGCAGUGGACGCUGCGACCUGUAAAGGUUCUGAAGGAGUACACUUACAUACCUCUCCUAUUGAGAAUGGUACUUAAAAAAUGCCAAGAACACACCGCACAAGGAGACAGUAUCACAGAAGCUGCAUUCCCGAUGGCAACAGGUCCUACAACUACAAUGAAGAACAUUGCAUCAGCACCGAAGCCGACACAGGAGGAGCUCUACACGUCAUGGUUCACGCGCUAUGGAAAACGGAAAGAAGAUAUCGCUGCAGAAGUGGAGUACAGUGUAACGAGUCAACAACCAAGCUUUCCAGCCAGAGCAGACACUGACCAUGACACAGAGGAUUCCACUGAUGACAGUGAUUAACAUGGAAAAGUGUGCGUCCAUAAUACCCCCGUCACACCGGGGUGGCGUCCUUACUGCGCUGCUACGGCGACAGAAAAUGGGCCCAGAGCGCGCCAA